CUACGGAGUACACAGUACAUAACUUUAAGUCUUAUAGACUAUUUAAUAAAACAAUAAAAUCAAUUCAAUAUUUGAUUAUUGGUAUUUAUAUCCAGUUUUGAGAGGUUUAUUCUCUCUGAUAGAUCUUUGAAAACUGAAUAGAAAAGACAUUUGUAUAUAUUAAUAUUCAAACGUUUUGAUCAACCUAUAGAAUAUAUCAUAUCUAAAUUCUAAUAUUAAAUUAGACAAUAGG
This 232-nucleotide unclassified non-coding RNA is filed under the name Mycoplasma sp. RNAcentral's name for it is "16S-23S ribosomal RNA intergenic spacer". Lineage: Bacteria; Bacillati; Mycoplasmatota; Mollicutes; Mycoplasmatales; Mycoplasmataceae. The record is from RNAcentral.